Non-coding RNA from Spironucleus salmonicida, 72 nucleotides. NCBI's taxonomy places the organism in Eukaryota, Fornicata, Diplomonadida, Hexamitidae. The record is from Rfam.
GCCGUCGUAGCUCAGCGGUAGAGCAUUGGACUUUUAAUCCAAUGGUCGCGGGUUCGAUCCCCGUCGUCGGUA